This 85-nucleotide small RNA is filed under the name Ancylostoma ceylanicum. RNAcentral describes it as "Nematode sRNA ceN72-3_ceN74-2". It matches the Rfam family "Nematode sRNA ceN72-3_ceN74-2". The record is from Rfam by way of RNAcentral. Lineage: Eukaryota; Metazoa; Nematoda; Chromadorea; Rhabditida; Ancylostomatidae.
CGUGGUCCGGAGUCGGUGGGUUAUCGUUGAAGAGUCCGAAAAGUCGGAAGCCCGAACGGGCAUCCCACCGACACAACUUGACCGC